RNAcentral lists this long non-coding RNA (22185 nucleotides) under Hordeum vulgare. RNAcentral's name for it is "long non-coding RNA (HVUL_LNC013282)". The record is from RNAcentral. Lineage: Eukaryota; Viridiplantae; Streptophyta; Magnoliopsida; Poales; Poaceae.
ACAAGAACAAGAAGGUCAGCCCGCCAACCUUUGUGUCGACCAGUUUAACUCCUCGGCGACCCAAGAACCCUUUUGACUUGGAAGCAGAUCUGGCAUCAAUCCUGACCGAUGAAGAUGACUUCGCAGCUCUGGCCAAGUGUAAUUGGGUACUGGGCGACUUGCAAAUUGAGGUCGGCCAAAGCUCGCAGCAAAAUGCUCCGAAGGCGCCAACAGAGUAAACUUCAUUGAUUUGGCCUAAGAUCCAUGUAAUAGGUCUUUUUCAUAAGUCGGUACUGCUUUUGUGAUACUCUCGAAAGAAUCUUUACGUCGACCUUAAGGCGAUUUGAAAUAUUUGAUCCGCCAUUUGAAAAUCCUUUAAAAUGCUUAAUCCGCCAUGGAUGAAGUGACUUUGAUCAUCAACCUGACUUAGGUUUUGAAAACAACAUACGUGAAACCAAAUAAAUGAUAACAAAUAUUUUUAAGAUAAAUCAGGAAAAAGAUUUUGAAAACCUCGUGGUCAUGCCAUGAAGGAAAAUAAAAACAGUAAUUUUGUCGGCUCAUAAGGUCGCGACAGGAUGGGGCGAGUCAGAAAGCUCGAGCGCACACCCUAAAUGAUGGUUUCGUUGGCUCAUAAGGUCGCGACAGGAUGGGGCGAGUCAGAAAGCUCGAGCGCACACCCUAAAUGAUGGUUUCGUCGGCUCAUAAGGUUGCGACAGGAUGGGGCGAGUCAGAAAGCUCGAGUGCACACCCUAAAAUGAUGGUUUCGUCGGCUCAUAAGGUCGCGACAGGAUGGGGCGAGUAAGAAAGCUCGAGCACACACCCUAAAUGCUGGUUUCGUCGGCUCAUAAGGUCGCGACGGGAUGAGGCGAGUCAGAAAGCCCGAGUGGACAACCUAAAAUGAUGGUUUCGUCGGCUCGUAAGGUCGCGACAGGAUGAGGCGAGUCAGAAAGCCCGAGUGGACAACCUAAAAUGAUGGUUUCGUCGGCUCGUAAGGUCGCGACAGGAUGAGGCGAGUCAGAAAGCCCGAGUGGACAACCUAAAAUGAUGGUUUCGUCGGCUCGUAAGGUCGCGACAGGAUGAGGCGAGUCAGAAAGCCCGAGUGGACAACCUAAAAUGAUGGUUUCGUCGGCUCAUAAGGUCGCGACAGGAUGGGGCGAGUCAGAAAGCUCGAGCGCCACCCUAAGAUGAUGAUGUUUUCGUCGGCUCAUAAGGUCGCGACAGGAUGGGGCGAGUGAGAAAGCUCAAGCGCCACCCUAAAUGAUGAUGUUUUCGUUGGCUCAUAAGGUCACGACAGGAUGGGGCGAGUCAGAAAGCUCAAGCGCCACCCUAAAUGAUGAUGAUGUUUUCAUCGGCUCAUAAGGUCGCGAAAAGGAUGGGGCGAGUCAGAAAGCUGAAGCACCACCCUAAAUGAUGAUGAUGUUUCCGUUGGCUCAUAAGGUCGCGACAGGAUGGGGCGAGUCACAAAGCUCAAGCACCACCCUGAAUGAUGAUGAUGUUUUCGUCGGCUCAUAAGGUCGCGUCAGGAUGGGGCGAGUCAGAAAGCUCAAGCGCCACCCUAAAUGAUGAUGAUUCUAUCGGCUCAUAAGGUCGCAACAGGAUGACAAAAUUGUUCUUUAAUGAAAAAGCCCCCAAGUCGGAGAGUAUUUUUAACUUUAUUUCUUCAUAAUGAAACUGAAAAACUUACAAAAUGCAGAGCUCCAAGCUCAAGUGUAAUAAGGCCGCAGGUGGGCAAUAUUCCAGGGGCGAGUCGACUCAGCCUCCGUGGUUGGCCGGUUAGGCCGAAGAUCCACCAGGUAAUAAGAGCCCUUGCGGAGAUUCUUGCUGACGACGAACGGUCCUUCCCAAGGCGGUGAUAACUUAUGCAUGCCAGCACGAUCUUGUAUCAAUCGAAGAACCAAGUCGCCUUCUUGAAAGGUCCGACUUUUAACCCGGCGGUUGUGAUAACGCCGUAGAUCCUGCUGGUAGAUAGCUGAACGGGCCGCAACCAGGUCACGUGCCUCCUCUAAGGCGUCCAAAGAGUCUUGAUGCGCCAGCUCAUUGUCUUGUUCCACAUAUGCGGCGACUCUAGGUGAGUCAUGCCUUAUAUCAGUGGGAAGAACGGCUUCUGCUCCAUAGACCAGAAAGAAAGGGGUGAAACCUAUGGACCGGUUCGGGGUAGUCCGAAUACUCUACAGUACUGAAGGUAAUUCUUCAACCCAACACCCUGGGGUCUUCUCCAGGGGAACCAUGAGUCGGGGCUUAACUCCUCGCAAAACCUCCUGAUUCGCCCGCUUCGCCUGCCCAUUAGAUUGUGGGUGAGCGACUGCAGAAACAUCAAGCCGGAUAUGCUCUCGACGGCAAAACUCCUGCAUCGCCCCUUGGGACAAGUUAGUACCAUUAUCAGUAAUGAUACUGUGCGGAUAUCCAAACCGGAAAAUCAGCUUUUUCAGGAAUUUGACCACUGUCUCCGCAUCGCAAGCUCCAACAGGUUCUGCCUCAACCCACUUGGUGAACUUAUCAACUGCCACUAGCAGAUGGGUCUUCUUGUUAGAGGACAUUUUAAAGGGGCCGACCAUGUCCAGCCCCCAGACCACAAAAGGCCAAGUGAUGGGGAUCAUUCUUAAUUCUUGAACCGGCACAUGAGCCUGCCGCCCAUAACGCUGGCAUCCUUCGCACCGACGAACUAUAUCUUCUGCAUCAGCAUGAGCCGUCAGCCAAAAGAACCCAUGACGAAAAGCCUUUGACACCAAAGAGCGUGACCCGACAUGAUGCCCACAGUCUCCGGAAUGAAUGUCAUUUAAGAUUAUGCAUCCUUGUUCGGAGGAAACGCAUCGCUGAAAAACUCCAGAGGCGCUCCGCUUAUAUAACUCGCCAUUGAUGAUGACCAUGGAUUUGCUACGACGAACGAUUUGACGAGCCGAAACAUCGUCUGUUGGUAACUCACCCCUGGCGAGAUAAGCCAGAUAAGGAACAACCCAAUCUGGCGUGACGUGGAGAGCCGCCACGAGCUGAGACUCAGGAUCUGGUAUUGCCAACUCCUCCUCCGAUGGUAGAAUCACAGAUGGUUUAUGUAAAAUAUCUAGAAAAACAUUGGGAGGAACUGGCUUUCGCUGGGAACCAAGUCGUGAGAGGGCGUCAGCUGCCUCGUUGAGGCGCCGAUCAAUGUGGUCCACCUGAUAACCAUGAAAAUGACCCGCUACAUCAGACACAGCUCUUUUGUAAGCUGCCAUCAUGGGGUCCCGAGAAUCCCAGGUACCCGAAACUUGCUGGGCCACCAAAUCAGAGUCGCCAAAGCAUCUGACUCGCGUUAAAUUCAUCUCCUUGGCGAGUCGCAAGCCGUGAAGCAAAGCUUCGUAUUCCGCCGCAUUGUUAGUGCAUGGGAACAUGAGUCGGAGAACGUAGAAAAAUUUAUCUCCUUGGGGGGAUACUAACACCACACCAGCCCCCGAGCCUUCCAGCUGCCUAGAUCCAUCAAAAUAAAUAGUCCAAUAAGUGAGAUCAGGCCUGUCUUCCGGAGCUUGCAACUCCGUCGAGUCGUUGACGAAAUCAACUAAAGCCUGAGACUUGAUGGCCGUGCGGGGGGCACAUUGUAUCUGGUGCGGCCCAAGUUCAAUUGCCCACUUGGCAAUCCGCCCUGUUCCCUCCCGAUUCUGGAUGAUGUCCCCAAGGGGGGCAGAGCUAACCACUGUGAUAGGGUGUUCUUGGAAGUAAUGCUUAAGUUUCCGACUCGCCAUAAACAACCCAUAUACCAACUUCUGCCAGUGUGGGUACCGCUGCUUGGAAAGGGUUAGCACCUCGCUGAUAAAAUACAUCGAACAUUGCACCGGGUAUUCCUUCCCCCCCUCAUUUCUUUCAACGACCACUGCCACACUUACUGCUUUGGAAUUUGCCGCGAUAUACAGAAGCAUGGGUUCUUUUUCAGUCGGGGCAGCCAAGACCGACGGGUUAACCAAUUGGCAUUUUAGGGCUUCCAGCGCCUCGUCUGCCUCAUUCGUCCAAACAAACUGAUCAUAUUUCCUUAAUAACUGAUAAAGAGGAAUCGCCUUAUCACCGAGGCGACUUACGAAACGACUUAGGGCCGCAAUGCGACCCGCCAAUCGUUGAACUUGAUUAACGUUCGCCGGCUUUCCAAGGGAGGUUACUGCUUCGAUCUUGUCUGGGUUAGCUUCAAUGCCGCGCUCUGAUACCAGGAAGCCCAGUAAUUUCCCUGCACGCACACCAAAAACACAUUUGGUGGGAUUUAGCUUCAUCUGAUAUACCCGUAGAUUAUCAAACGUUUCCUUGAGAUCCUCCAGUAGUGUCUCCCCCUGGCGGGUUUUGAUCACAAUAUUGUCGACAUAGGCGUGGACGUUGCGACCGAUUUGAUUGCGUAGGCAAUUCUGGAUGCAGCGCUGGUAAGUCGCCCCCGCACUCUUGAGUCCAAAAGGCAUGGACACAUAACAAAAAGCCCCGAAGGGGGUUAUAAAAGCUGUCUUUUCUUGAUCCUCCACGGCCAUCUUGAUUUGGUGAUAUCCUGAGUAGGCCUCCAAAAAGCACAAUCGUUCGCAUCCCGCCACCGAGUCAAUGAUCUAGUCGAUGCGGGGAAGAGCGAAGGGAUCCUUUGGACAAGCUCUGUUGAGGUCUGUGUAGUCAAUGCACAUUCGAAAGGUACCGUUCUUCUUGAGUACCAAAACCGGGUUAGCCAGCCAUUUGGGGUGAAAAACUUCCACGAUGAAUCCGGCAGCUAAAAGACGGGCAACCUCUUCUCCAAUCGCCUUGCGUCGCUCCUCGUUAAAUCUGCGAUGGUACUACUGGAUGGGUUUUGCCUUUGGGUCCACAUGAAGAUGGUGCUCAGCGAAUUCUCUCGGCACACCAGGCAUGUCAGAAGGUUUCCAUGCGAAGAUGUCCCGAUUCUCACGGAUGAAUUCGAUGAGCGCGCUUUCCUAUUUGGGGUCCAGACCCGUCCCAAUGGUGAACUGCUUGGAUGAAUUGCCAGGAACAAAAUCGAUUGUCUUAGUGUCAUCCGUUGGCUUGAACUUGAGGGGCGACUCAGCAUCUGUAGUCGGCUUCUUUAGGGGUGACAUGUCCGCUGGGUCAACAUUGGCCCGAUGGUGUCUGAGCUCCUCUGCAGCGCAGGCGACUUCCGCGUAAGCCGCGUCCCCUUCUUCACAUUCCUUUGCAAUCCUUCUAUCUCCAUCAACCGUGAUGGGUCCUUUGGGACCAGGCAUUUUGAGCUUGAGGUAAACAUAACACGGGCGAGCCAUGAAGCGGGCGUAAGCCGGCCGCCCAAAUAACGCAUGGUAGGGGCUUUUCAAUUUGACCACCUCGAAAAUCAGUGACUCUGGCCUAUAAUUCUGCGCAGUUCCAAACGCCACUGUGAGUCUGACUCGGCCUAGGGGGUAGGCCAACUUGCCCGGGACGAUUCCGUGGAAGACCGUGGUUGAAGGCAUCAGGUCCUUUUCCAAUAGGUUCAUCCUUUGGAAAGUGUCAAAAUAUAAGAUAUUAAUGCUGCUGCCACCAUCCAUUAGCACUUUGGACAGGGUGUAACCCCCAACUUGGGGAGCCACGACCAAUGCUAAAUCGCCUGGGUUGUCAACUCUUGGCGGGUGAUCCUCCCUGCUCCAUGUUAUGGUCUGCUCAGACCAAUCAAGGUAUCUGGGAAGCGCCGGUUCAGAUACACUGUACGCCCGGUGACUCGCCUUCUUAUCGCGCCUGCAAGCAUUGGUGGUGAAAACAUGAUACUGCCCAUUACUUAACUAUUUGGGGUUGCUGCGGAAACCCCCGUUAUCAUCCUGACCCUGCGGAGCCCCCUGUGGGGGUGGCUGUUGAAAGGCUCCUAGCGGGUUAUACCGCCGCUGGUGGUGCACCGGGUAUUGGCCGCCACCUGGCUGUGGGCCUCCCUGAGCCCCGUAUUCAGGAAAGCCGCCGAAGGGGUUCUGUCGUUGGUUGGGUGUGGCGAACUGCUCCUGGCGUUGGUUCGGGUCAUCGUUUUGACUUUUCUUGAUCACCUCCGCCCGAAAUUCCCGCAUUACGAAGCAAUUCUCCCAGGAGUGAGUCGCCGGACCGUUUGCCGUGGCAUGGUGCGGGCAAGGGCCUUUGAGUAGCUCUUCAUAGUUAUGCGGCCUCUUCCCGCUAAACCCCCUGUUUUUCUUCUGGCGUUGGUUGCCAUUGUUGGUGUUGGUAUUGGCGACUAAGUCCCAGGGCUCCUCCUGCGGUCUUCGCUUGCUAUUGGCCCCUUGAUUGUGGCGGUUGCGUCCCUGGAACCGGGUAUGGUUUUUGGAUGACUCGCCCUUUUUGGGCGAAUUAGCCUUACCGUCCUCACCAGGAUCUUUGGUGUCAUCUGCCUCAGCGUACCUAGUGAGGGUGUCCAUCAGCUCUCCCAUGUCUUGGACCUUUCGCUUGAGUCGCCCCAAUUUUUGCACCAAGGGUUCGUAAUGGCAAUUCUGCUCGAGGAUCAGCACAGCUUGAGCCGCCGUAAUACCAUCCAACGAAUGGACAAUUUCUGCAACCCGCCGUGACCAAUGGUGAGCCGACUCAUCCGGGCGCUGAACAUAGUGUUGUAGAUCGACGAUCGUCAUCGGACGUUUGCAAGUUCCUCGGACGUUUUUGAUGAAACGCUUUUUUAACUCGGCCCAGGUUUGGAUGGAGUUGGGAGGUAAGUUUUUCAACCAAGCAUGUGCUGACCCCUCAAGCAUCAUCGUGAAGUAUCUAGCGCAAACUGCCUAGUUUACGUCGAGCAUGUCCAUGGCUAUUUCAUAACUCUCGAUCCACGAUGCCGGCUCAAGGUCCGGGGUGUAAUUAGGCACCUUUCUUGGUCCCUUAAAAUCUUUGGGCAUCCUUUCGUUACGAAGGGCGAGGGCCAAGCAUGGCACCCCAACUCGCCCUCCGCCCCCGACGAGGGGGGCCGGGGCGUCUUGGGUGUUCGGGAGAUCCCGGCCCGGCGGGUUCCAAUCAGGCGGGUUGUCCUGCGGGACGUGUCGCGGCCCGCUGUUUACGGCGGGCUGGUCCUCUGGCCGGCUCCUGGUGUAGCUUGCCUGGGGAGUGGAAUGCAACCUCUCGAGGCUGUGUGAGAACUGGGCGUUUUGAACCACCGACGUCUUCAACAUCUCGAUGGCGUUCCUUGCUUCUAUCUCGGCAGGAGUGUUGCCGUGAAUCGGGAGAGAUUCCAGAUGGCGAGUUGCGGCAAGGACGUUGUCCACCGGGUUGGAAAAGUGGCCUUGAGGCGUCCGGAAUCGGGGAGUGCGAUCCCCAGCCGGCUGACCCGGCGGGUUAGGCGGGCGACCCGGCCCUCCCCCCGGGGCGGCUCCCGCCCCAGGGGUUCGUGGAGUGUCGAACAGGUCGCUCGGGUUGAGAUCAUGGGGCAGGCGACCCUGGUGUCUCCGUUGAUGGACGGCGUCAGAUGCGCGUUGUUGUCUUUCGAGCCGCCCGUUGUCAGUGUUUAUCGCAUCCUUUCGGCCGCAAUUUGAGCUUGCCGAGUCUCGAUCCUAGGAGACUCCACCUCGGCAUCCCGAUGAGCCUUUGCCACUGCCUCUCUGAGUUUCGCCAGCUCCGCGUUUAUCUCCUCCUAGUUUUCUGGUGUAAGGGGAGUCGUCAUCAGCCUUGUGAUUUCUGCCGCUAAAUCCACCAGGACUACGGCCGGGCUUCUGGACGUCCCGCCGGCUCCAUCGCCUCCGGUGGGGUUUUGUGUGGGUUGAGUCGCCCCCGCCAUGUAAAUGGCGAUCUGACGGCGGGUUCGGUCAAGGACUUCGGGGUCCAUGGCCAGCGACAAGCCCCCAAGACAAUCCCCAUGUAGAGAUCGGAUUGAGUCUGAAUCGCCCAUGGAUGAUUCGUCAUCACAGUUGACCGGUGUAGUUUCCUGAGUCGCCGAGCGCUCUGGCUCCUCCGAUCCCUGCGUGAACCCCACAAAGACCGGGCGAGUCAGAUUUGGCGUUAUUACUGGGCGGACGUACCUGGCCGGCUCGACGAUGUCGGUGGAGAUGUCCGGCUCAGGCAUGGAUGAUCCGAUCAUGCCGAUGAAGAUGUUGAUAUUGCCGAAGGGGACCCUGUAACCAGAUUCAAUCGAAUCUGCUUUGGGCCCCCAUCGCUGGUUGUCGAUGUAGGUUUUCCCGCGGCGGCUCCGGGUCAUGAGCCCCGUCGCGUAACUCCCAAACCCUGGUAGGGCUCCCUUUGAGAACUCAACUCCGCCGUGCGCAAGCCCCACGGUGGGCGCCAACUGUCGUGGUUUUGUCACGACAGAUGUCCUCGUGAAAGGACUUAGUACUGGAGCCAUCGCACCUUGGCGGCGACUCAAAGGGGUUAAGCGGGAGAGACACGGCGAUUUACCCAGGUUCGGCCCCUCGUGAGGAGGUAAAGGCCUACGUCCUGCUUUGGUUUGUAUUGAUGUGGUUUCGAUUACAAGGAAGGCAUAACUCGCCAGACCUAGCACUCGAUGAUUUCUAACCUACCCCUCUCCUUCCCUAGGGCUCGCCUUUAUAUACAGGCCGAACCCUUAGGGUUUACAAGGAUACUUUCCUUUCUACAAAUCGUGACCCCUGCGGUCUCUAAGUCGCCGUCCUUCAAAGCUUGGAGACUUUCCAGAAAUCAUAAACCGCCAUAGGACCUCCGUGCUGAUAACGCCAAGGCCCAAAUCAUUGUUUAGGUGAAUCGCCUGAUUUGGUGACCCGGCCCAACUAGGGAGGGUUAUUAACAGGUAAUAUCCCCAACACAAACCAUGAAGCAAAGCUUCGUAUUCUUCUACAUUGUUAGUACAUGGAAACAUGAGUCGGAGGACAUAGCAGAACUUAUCACCGUGAAGAGAAGUUAUCACCACGCCAGCACCGAGCCUUCUAACUGUCUGGACCCUUCAAAGUAGAUGGUCCAAUAUGUAAGAUCUGGUCUUUCCUCAGGGAUUUGUAACACGGUCAAAUCAUUGAUGAAGUCCACGAGCGCUUGAGACUUGAUAGCCGUCCGCGGUGUAUACCGAAUCUGAUGAGGACCCAACUCAAUAGCCCAUUUAGCAAUCCGUCCAGUGGGUUCUCGGUUAUGUAUAAUGUCACUAAGGGGAGCAGAGCUGACAACCGUGACCGGGUGUUCCUGAAAGUAAUGUUUCAACUUUCGACUCGCCAUGAACACUCCAAAAACCAACUUUUGCCAAUGCGGGUAACGUUGCUUGGAGAGAGUAAGGACUUCGCUGAUGAAGUAUACCGGCCUUUGGACGGGGUAUUCCUUCCCUUCCUCCUUUCGCUCGACAACUAUUGCCACACCGACGACUCUGGAAUUGGCCGCAAUGUACAGGAGCAUAGGCUCUUUGUCUGCGGGGGCCGCUAGCACCGGCGGGCUAGCUAAUUGCUGCUUCAAGGCUUCGAAAGCAUCGUUGGCCUCAUCCGUCCACACGAAACGAUCGGUCUUCUUGAGUAGCUGAUAGAGAGGGAUGGCCUUCUCCCCAAGGCGACUUAUGAAACGGCUCAAAGCCGCGAUUCGAUGCGCCAUGCGCUCUACUUGAUUAACGUUGGCUGGUUUUCCAAGCGAAGUAAUCGCGACAAUCUUCUCUGGGUUGGCCUCGAUUCCUCGCUCUGACACCAGGAAACCCAACAGCUUCCCUCUGGGGCACCAAACACACACUUGGUGGGGUUGAGCCUCAUCUGGUAAACACGCAGGUUGUCGAAUGUUUCUUUGAGAUCUUCCAACAGUGAUUCCUUGCGAUGAGAUUUGACCAUGAUGUCGUCCACCUAAGCGUGAAAGUUACGGUCUAUCUGGCUGUGUAGGUAGUUUUGGAUGCAGCGCUGGUAAGUUGCCCCCGCGCUUUUAAGCCCAAACGACAUGGACUCAUAACAGAAAGCUCCAAAAGGGGUUAUGAAGGAUGUCUUUUCCUGAUCCGCCACCGCCAUUUUUAUCUGGUGGUAUCCUGAGUAGGCGUCCAAGAAGCACAGACGUUCGCAACCUGACGCCGAGUCAAUGAUUUGAUCAAUGCGAGGAAGGGCGAACAGACCCUUUGGGCAGGCUCUAUUAAGGUCCGUGUAAUCAAUGCACAUGUGGAAAGUGCCAUUCUUUUUGAGUACCAAGACCGGGUUAGCCAGCCACUCCGGGUGAAAAACCUCGAUGAUGAAACCGGCGGCAAGGAGCCGGGCCACUUCUUCUCCAAUUGCCUUACGACGUUCUUCAUUAAACCGGCAGAGGUACUGCCGCACCGGCUUAACCUUGGGGUCAGUAUUGAGAUGGUGCUCAGCGAAUUCUCUCGGUACAGCCGGCAUGUCAGAAGGUUUCCAUGCAAAGAUGUCCCGAUUCUCUCGGAUGAAUUCCAUGAGCACGCUUUCCUAUUUGGGGUCAAGACUCGCCCCAAUAGUGAACUGCUUGGUUGAGUCGCCUGGCGUAAUAUCAAUGACCUUGGUGUCGUCUGCUAGUUUGAACUUGAGGGGCGGCUCGGAAUCGACCGUCGGCUUUUUGAGCGGCGUCAUGUUUUCCGGGUCGACGCGGGAUUUGUGAAACUUAAGCUCCUCGGCCGCGCAAGCUGACUCGGCAUAGGCGGCGUCUCCUUCCUCGCAUGCUUGGGCUAUCUUUCUGUUGCUGUGGACGGUGAUGGGACCCUUGGGUCCAGGCAUCUUGAGCUUGGGAUAAACAUAACAUGGGCGGGCCAUGAACUUGGCGUAAGCUGGUCGUCCAAACAACGCAUGGUAGGGACUUUUGAUCUUGACCACUUCGAACUAGAGAGACUCGCUCAUGUAGUUUGACUCCGUGCCAAAAGCCACAUUAAGUUUGAUUCGCCCAAUGGGGUAUGCCGACUUACAAGGCACAAUACCGUGGAAGACGGCAUCAGGUCCUUCUCGAGGAGGUUCAUCCGCCGGAAAGUGUCGAAUUAUAAGAUGUUGAUGCUGCUACCCCCGUCCAUAAGGACUUUGGAGAGGGUGUAUCCUCCGACUUGAGGAGCUACGACCAGGGCUAAGUCGCCAGGGUUGUCGACUCGGGGCGGAUGGUCCUCCCGGCCCCAUGUUAUGGGUUGUUCCGACCAGUGAAGGUAUCGAGGAAGCGCCGACUCAGCUAUGAAAGUUCUGUGCUUUACCUUGCGAUCCCGUUUACAGGUGUUAGUGGUAAACACGUGGUACUGCCCGUUGUUCAACUGCUUGGGGUUGUUUUGGAACCCGCCCCGAUCCUCUUGUCGCUGGGGGUCUCCUUGCGGGUGAGGUUGUUGGAAUAUUCCCGGUGGGUGAUAUUGCUGGUUAUGGACUUGGUAUUGACCGGCAUUGUGCUGUGACCCGCCCUGUGGUCCUUGGUUGGGGAAGCCCCUGUAUCUGGCCUGUCGUGACCUGGACGGGCCGGGUUGCUCCUGCCGCUGACCCUGCUCGCCACCUUGGCUUCUUUUGAGCGCCUCAGCCCGGAACUCUUGCAUCACAUAGCAAUCUUCCCAUGAGUGAGUCGCCGGCCCAUCAGGUGUAGUGUGCUAUGGGCACGAGCCCUUAAGCAUUUCAUGGUAAUUACGCGUUUUUCCCACUGAAGCGCCAUUUCUUCUGACGCGGGUUUGAAUUUCCAGUAUUAGUAUUAGCUACAAACUCUACAUGACUCUCCUGCUACCGCUUCUUGCCAUGCCCGCCAUGGUGGUUAUUCCCCCGGUUCUGGAACUGGGAUUGGCCAUUUUGCAACUCGCCCUUGCGGAUAGCUCCGGCUUUGUCGUCGCCCUACCCGGGAUCCUUGAUGUCAUCCGACUCAGCAUAUCUGGUAAGGGCGUCCAUCAGCUCGCCCAUGUCCUGCACCUUCCGCUUGAGUCUCCCUAGUUUCAGCACCAGGGGCUCGUAGUGGCAAUUUUCCUCCAGGAUCAACACCGUCUGAGCCGUCGAAAUCCCUUCCGACGAAUGGAUAACUUCCACUACUCACCGGGUCCAGUGGUGGGCCGACUCAUCCGGCCGCUGAACGCAAUGCUGUAAGUCGACGAUGGUCAUCGGGCGUUUGCAGGUUCCUCUGAAGUUCUUGAUGAAGCGCUCCUUCAGCUCCCCCCAGGUGUUGAUAGAGUUAGGCGGCAGAUUUUUCAACCAGGUGCGGGCCGUCCCUUCGAGCAUCAUGGUGAAGUACUUUGCGCAAACCGCCUCGCUAACGUCCAUCAUAUCCAUCGCGAGCUCAUAGCUCUCGAUCCAUAACCUGGGCUCGAGAUCUGGCGAGUAAUUGGGAACCUUCCUGGGUCCUUUGAAGUUCUUUGGCAUGCGCUCGUUGCACAAAGCUGGCGCGAGACACGAUACUCCAAUGUGCUUGCCUCCACCAUCCAGGGGCGUCGGUGGUACAUAGGCUAGAUAGACCUAACCCGCCAUGGCCGUUGGCUCCAUGUGUCGCACGGCUCGUGCUACGUCCACAAUAUCCUGGGCUCGUGUGUCAGGCAUCCCAAGUAGAUCAUGUUGGGGGAGCCGUCGCGGCCCGCUGGUCACUGCGGGAAAAUCCUCGUGGCGACUUCUGGCGUGACUCGCCUGAGGCGUAGAGUGGAGACGGUCGAGGCUAUGGGAAUACUGCACGUGCUAGACCACGGCCGUCUUUAGCAUCUCGAUGGCGUUUCUAGCUUCUAUCUCGGUCGGGGUGUUUCCGUAAAUCGGAAGANNNNNNNNNNNNNNNNNNNNNNNNNNNNNNNUCGGAAGAGACUCCAGGUGGCGGGUUGCGGCCACCAUGUUGUCAACGGGGUUUGAGAAGUGACCCCGCGGGGUCUGGAAUCGUGUUGCAUGAACGUCCAUGGGCUGAUCCGGUGGCAGAUUGGAUGGUGGAAUCGUUCCGCCCCUCGGGGCGGUUUGCAGAGGGCGAUCAGGACCCACCCGAGGGGUGCGCUGGGUGUCGAAGAGGCGAGUCGGGUGAAAGUCGGCCGGGACGUGCCCGCCAUGUCUUCUUUGGUGGAUGGCGUCGGACGUGCGUUGCUAUAUCCCGAGCCGCCAGCCUUCGGUGUUAAGCCGAUCGGUCUCCGCAGCGACCGCAUCCCGUUGCGUCUCAAUCCUGGCGGCUUCUGCUUCCAUGUCGCGUUGUGCUUUGGCCAUUGCCUCCCGCAUCUUGGCCAGCUCAGCGUUGACCGACUCUUGAAUCUCAGACGUGACUGGGGUUGCCAUAAGGUUGGCUAUCUCCGUUGCCAGUUCCGUCAUGGUCUGCGCUGGCGGUUUGGACGUUCCUCCAGUCUCGUUGUUACCGGUCGGGUUCUGAGGAGGCUAUGCUGAUCCUGCCAUGUAGAUGGCGAUUUGCCGGUGAGAUCUCUCGAGGACUUCGGGGUCCAUCGCUAGCGAUAGCCCCCCGAGCCGCCCUUCCUCAAGGUGGUGGAUCGACGCCGUCUCGUCCAUGGAUAACUCGCCAUCGGAAUUGACGAGGGUGAUGUCCUGGCCCGCCCCUUUGUCCUCCGAGUUGCUUCCCUGCAUGAAGCCGACGAAAACCUGGCGGCUUUUGUUCCGCCGUGUGACGGGGUGGACGUACCUGGCCGGCUCGACGAUGUCGAUGGAGGUGUCCGGCUCAGGAACAGGGGUCCCGAUCAUGCCAAUGAAGAUGUUGAUCUUGCCGAAGGGGACUCGGUAGCCAGAUUCGACGGAAUCGGCCUUCGAUUCCCAUAGCGAGUUGUUGAUGUGGUACUUCCCACGGUGACUCUUGGUCAUGAUGCCGACAACGUAGCUUUCUAACUCUGAUAGGGCUCCCUUCGAGAACUCAACUCCACCGUGCGCUAGCCCCACGGUGUGCGCCAACUGUUGUGGUUUUGUCACGGCAGAUGUCCUCGUGAAAGGACUUAAAGAUUGAGCCAUCGCACCUUGGUGGCGACUCAAAGGGGGUGAGCGAAAGCAAGACUCAGAUUUACCCAGGUUCGGCCCCUCGUGAGGAGGUAAAAGCAUACGUCCUGCUUUGUGUAGAUUGAUGACGGUUUCGAUUACAAGGAGGGCGUAACUCGCCUAACCUAGCUCUCGAUUCUCUCUAACUCGCCUGACCUCUCCCCGGGACUCGGCUUUAUAUACAGGUUGAGGCCCUAGGGUUUACAAAGUCCUACUCUCCUACACUUGGUAGUUUUCCUUAUCUCUAAGUCACCGUGCUCCUCAUGAUUCAAAGCUUCCUUGAUAUUCCAUCACCCGUACGGUCUUCUUGAACCGCCACACAGCUCCUGGGCCACUGGACAUAUGACCAAAGAUGAUUCGCCCCCUUUGGUGACCCGGCCCAUUAAGGGCGGGUUACCCACAUGUAACAUCCCCAACACGAUCCGUUCCGAUCUAGUGCCGAACAGACGACACCUCCGUGUUCAGCACACGUAAAACUCGAUGAUGAUCUCAGCCUUCUUGAUCCAGCAAGAGAAACAGAGAGGUAGAUGAGUUCUCCAGCAGCGUGACGGAGCUCCGGAGGUUGGUGAUGAUCUAUCUCAGCAGGGCUCCGCCCGAGCUCCGCAGAAAUACGAUCUAGAGGAAAAACCGUGGAGGUAUGUGGUCGGGCUGCCGUGGCAAAACUUGUCUCAAAUCAGCCCUAAUACCUCAGUAUAUAUAGGAGGGAGGGGGAGGGAAGAGGCAGCCUCAAACCCUCAAGGUUUGGCCGAAAUUGGAGGUGGAGGAGUCCUACUCCAAUCCUACUUGGAGUAGGAUUCCACCUUCCCACUUGGAAACUCUUUCCACCUUGAGUUUUUUCCUUCUCAAAACUUAUGGGCCUUAGUGGGAACUUAUUCCAGCCCACUCGGGGCUAGUUUAUAUCUUCCCAUAGCCCAUGAGACCCCUUGGGGCGUGACAACCUUCCCGAUGGUCCCCGACACCCCUCCCGGCACUCCCGGUACACUACCGAUGAGCCCGAAACUUUUCCGGUGACCAAAACAAGACUUCCUAUAUAUCAAUCUUUACCUCCGGACCAUUCCGAAGCACCUCGUGAUGUCCUGGAUCUCAUCCGGGACUCCGAACAACUUCCGGUUACCAACCAUAUAACUCAAAUACACAUAAAACAUCAUCAAACCUUAAGUGUGCAAACCCUACGGGUUCGAGAACUAUGUAGACAUGACCCGAGAGACUCCUCGGUCAAUAUCCAAUAGCGGGACCUGGAUGCCCAUAUUGGAUCCUACAUAUUCUCUGAAGAUCUUAUCGGUUGAACCUCAGUGUCAAGGAUUCAUAUAAUCCUGUAUGUCAUUCCAUUUGUCCUUCGGUAUGUUACUUGCCCGAGAUUCGAUCAUCGGUAUCCGCAUACCUAUUUCAAUCUCGUUUACCGGCAAGUCCCUUUACUCGUUCCGUAAUACAAGAUCCCGUGACUUACACUAAGUCACAUUGCUUCCAAGGCUUGUGUGUGAUGUUGUAUUACCGAGUGGGCCCCGAGAUACCUCUCCGUCACACGGAGUGACAAAUCCCAGUCUUGAUCCAUCCUAACUCAACGGGCACCUUCGGAGAUACCUGUAGAGCAUCUUUAUAGUCACCCUAUUACGUUGUGACGUUUGAUACACACAAGGCAUUCCUCUGGUGCCAGUGAGUUAUAUGAUCUCAUGGUCAUAGGAAUAAAUACUUGACACGCAGAAAACAGUAGCAACAAAAUGACACGAUCAACAUGCUAUGUUUAUUAGUUUGGGUCUAGUCCAUCACAUGAUUCUCCUAAUGAUGUGAUCCCGUUAUCAAGUAACAACACUUGCCUAUGGCCAGGAAACCUUUACCAUCUUUGAUCAACGAGCUAGUCAACUAGAGGCUUACUUGGGAAAGUGUUUUGUCUAUGUAUCCACACAAGUAUUGUGUUUCCAAUCAAUACAAUUAUAGCAUGGAUAAUGAAUGAUUAUCAUGAACAAAGAAAUAUAAUAAUAACUAAUUUAUUAUUGCCUCUAGGGCAUGUUUCCAACACUUUCCUCCCAAACCAUCCAAGAAAAAGGAUGAUGAGGAUUUUGAGCGCUUUGUUGAAAUGAUUAGACCUGUGUUUCUGCAAAUGCGUCUGACAGAUAUGCUCAAAAUGUCUCCGUAUGCUAAGUACAUGAAAGAUAUUGUGACCAAAAAAAGGAAGAUACCCGAGGUCGAGAUUUCCACCAUGCUUGCCAACUACACCUUCAAGGGUGGAACUCCUAAGAAACUAGGUGAUCCCGGAGUGCCCACUAUACCUUGCUCUAUUAAAGGAAACUACAUUAGAACUGCUUUAUGCGAUCUUGGAGCCGGUGUUAGUGUUAUGCCUCUCUCUCUCUUUAUCGUAGACUUGAAUUGGAUAAGUUGACACCCACUAAAAUCUCCUUGCAAAUGGCCGACAAAUCAACUGCUUUUCCUAUCGGCAUUUGCGAGGAUGUGCGUGUUGUGAUUGCUAACGUUACUAUCUUAACGGACUUUGUUAUUCUGGAUAUUCCCCAGGAAGAUGCCUUGGCGGUCAUCCUUGGAAGACCCUUUUUAAACACUGCAGGAGCUGUUAUUGAUUGCAACAAAGGCAAUGUCACUUUCCAUGUCAAUGGUAAUGAGCAUACAGUGCACUUUCCGAAGAAACAAUAUCGAGUACAUUGCAUCAAUGCUAUUGAAAAAACUUCAUCAAUUCUUAUUGGGAGCUUUGAAUGCCCUAUACCUACUGUCAAGAUGAAGUAUGGUUUUCUUGUUGGGGAUAUGCACAUCCCCAUUGAGGUAACCUAGUGACUGUUCGAAAAAUCUCCGGUUCUAUGUGAUUCUAAAAGAGUUUGUCAUGGAGACUUGAUCAACCUCAUUGACGGAUUUCUUUUGAUGACCAUGAGAUGGAUGAAUCUAGGAGUCACAACCCUCCUUGUUGGUAAUUGACCGGAGAGGUGUCUCCUUCAUGUCUACAUGCUUCUCGAACCCGUAGGGUCUACACACUUAAGGUUCGAUGACACUAGGGUUAUAGGGAAAUAGUGUACGUGGUUAUCGAAGGUUUUUCAGAGUCCUGGAUGAGAUCCGGACGUCAUGAGGAGUUCCGGAAUGGUCCGGAGGUAAAGAUUUAUAUAUAGGAAGUGAGGAUUUGGUCACCGGAAGUGUUUCGGGCGAUACCGGUAAUGUACCAGGACCACCUGAAGGGUUCCGGGGGUCCACCGGGAAGGGCCACCAGCCCCAUAUUGCUACAUGGGCCAAAUGGUGGGUGGGGAUCAGCCCCUAAGUGGGCUGGUGCACCUCCACCAUCAGCCCAAGGCGCAGCAAGGGGGUAAGGGGCCAAACCCUAGGAGUGGAGGGGCUGCCUUAGGCCCAAAUCCCACCUUUGUGCGCCACCCCUCCACCCCUUAGGGCGGCCGCACCCCUUAGGAUAGAAACCCUACGGGUGGGCACCCUCCUCCCUCUCCUCCUAUAUAUAUUGGAGGGUGUUUGGGCUCCAAGACACAACUUCUUCCACCUCCAGGGCGCAGCCCUACUCCUCCUCCUCCUCAUCCUCCGUAGUGCUUGGCGAAGCCCUGUCAGAGUACCACGUAGCUCCACUGUCACCAUGCCGUCGUGCUUCCAGAGCUGUACCUCAACCUCUACUCCCUCCUUGAUGGAUCAAGGCGUUGCAAACGUCACCAGGAUGCAUGUGUUUUGAAUGCGGAGGCGCCGUUGUUCGGCGCAUAGAUCAGAAUCCACUGCGAUCUGAAUCGCUGCGAGUGCGACUCCAUCAACCGCGUUCUAGCAAUGCUAUCGCCUAGUGAUCUUCAAAGGUAUGAAGAUGAUCUACCCCUUAGCUCGUUGUUGGUUUCUCCAUACAUACAUCCUUGCAUUAAUUUGGUCUUUUCGGUCUUGUGUAAUGAAGAUGAACCUGCAAUGGAUGUACGAAGACCGACGCUCUCCCCAGUUCAUUAAUGGCUUGUAGAGUUUUCUACGAACGGCUGAUGCAAACAAGCGGGAUGGUUUUAUGUGGUGUCCAUGUGCUAUCUGUAAGAAUGAUAAAAGUUACUCUAAAUCAAAAUUCAUUCACAUCCACCUGUUUACGUCCGGUUUCAUGUCCGGCUAAAACUGUUGGACCAAGCAUGGAGAAAGAGGGGUUCUAAUGGAAGAGAAUGAAGAAGAAGAGGAUGAUGAUGGCUAUCCUUCGUCCCCUGAAUACGAUGAUACUACAAUGGGGGAAGAAGCUGAAGUAGAGGCACCAUAUGAGCCCGCUGAUGAUAUUGGUCGGGCCAUUGCUGAUGCAAAGAGAAACUAUGCAAGUGAACAUGAGAAGCUGAAGUUGCAGCGCAUGUUAGAGGAUCACAAGAAAUUGUUGUACCCAAUUUGCAAAGAUGACAAGAAGAAGCUGGGUACCACACUGGAAUUGCUGCAAUGGAAGGCACAUAAUGGUGUAUUUGACAAGGGUUUUGAAAAGUUGCUGAAAUUGUUAAAGAAGAUGCUUCCAAAGGACAACGAAUUGCCCGACAGUACGUACGAAGCAAAGAAGACUAUCUCCCCGCUAGGAUUAGAGGUGUAGAAGAUACAUGCAUGCCCUCAUGACUGCAUCCUCUACUGUGUUGAGGAGUACGAGAAUUUGAAUGCAUGCCCGGUAUACGGUGCCGAGCACUAUAAGAUCGGGCGCGAUGACCCUGGUGAUGAUGUUGAGGUCCAGCGCCCCAGGAAGAGGAUUCCUGCCAAGAUGAUGUGGUAUGAUCCUAUAAUACCACGGUUGAGAUGUUCAAAGAGCAUGCCAAGUUGAUGCGAUGGCACAACGACGAGCGUAGGAAAGACGGGAAGUUGGGAGUACCCGCAGAUGCGUCGCAGUGGAGGAAAAUCGAGAGAGAUUGGCCGGACUUCACAAAGACGAGCGUAAGAAAGACGAGAAGUUGAGAGUACCCAUAGAUGGGUCGCACUGGAGGAAAAUCGAGAGAGAUUGGACGGACAUUGCAGAUGACCCAAGGAACUGUUGGUUUGGUUUAAUUGCAGAUGUCUAUAAUCCUUUUGGGAAGAAGAGUAGCAAUCAUAGCACCUGGCGUGUGACUCUAUGUAUUUAUAACCUUCCUCCUUGGUUGUGCAUGAAGAGGAAGUUCAACUUGAUGCCAGUGCUCAUCCAAGGCCCCAAGCAACCCGACAACGACAUUGAUGUGUAUCUAAGGCCAUUAGUUGAAGAUCUUUUACAACUGUGGGCUAUCAAAGGUGUACGUGUGUCGGAUGAGCACAAACAUGAGGAAUUGGACCUACGAGCAUUGUUGUUUGUAACCAUCAAUUAUUGGCCUGCUCUUAGUAACCUUUGAGGACAGAUAAACAAGGGAUACCACAUAUGCACGCACUGUCUAGAUGAUACCGAAAGUAUAUACUUGGAUAAAUGUAAGAAAAAUGUGUACCUAGGACAUCGUUGAUUUCAUCCAAUCAAGCAUCUCUUAAGAAAAGAAGGCAAGCAUUUCAAAGGUGAGGCAGAUUACCGGAAGAAGCAUGUCCAUCGUACUGGUGAUCAUAUACUUCAUAUGGUCAAGGAUUUAAAAUUAAUUUUUGGAAAGGGUCCUGUCGGACAAUCGGUUCCAAAUGGCGUUGGCGGACACGCACCCAUGUAGAAGAAGAAAUCUAUAUUUUGGGACCUACCUUUUUGGAAAGUUCUAGAGGUCCACUCUACAAUAGACGUGAUGCACGUGACAAAGAAUCUUUGGGUGAACCUGCUAGGCUUCUUGGGCGUGUAUGGGAAGAGCCAUAGGGGUAAUGAGAAAUUUCGUAGGGGGUUGAUGUGACAGUUGCCCACAAACCUACACAAGUUGUUCAGUUUUUGCACUAGUUGCGUGCGAAAAUUAUUGAAAUCUCUAGAUAUAAUGAUGGAAAAUACACAUGAUUUUCUUAUUGAAUACAGUGGAGUUGUACAAAAACACACUAAAAGUUGCUAAUUUUUUAUGACACUCGAGUGUAAUUAUGGAAACUGUUUAUGACUAGCAUGCAACUUGGCGUAAAUCAUAGGAAAUUUAUAGUAUCUAUAGGCAACUGAACAUCAAUCGUAGGCAGCUCACCAUCAGUAAUAGGCAACUGAGCAUCAAAGUUCAGUAAUUUCACAGUAUUUGUAGGCAACUGAGCAACAAUCAUAGGCAACUGAUCAUCAUUAAUAGACAAGUGGGCAUCAAUGUUUGGUAGUUUCAUAGUAUUUGUAGGCAAUUAAGCAUCAACCGCAUGCAACUAAUCAUCAAUGACACACAAUUGAGCAGUAACGAUGGGGAAGUUGAGAUAAUGUUGAUAAGAUUCACACGUAAACAUAGUGCAGUGAAGUUAUUUGUACGUAGCACUAAGUGUGCCUCAUGUCUUGUGUUAUUUUCUCAUUUUUACAAAAGUCAACCAAAUAGGCAGUCCAACUAGGCCAAGGAAAGUUGCUUCCCUGUAGCAGUAAUGUUGUCUCAAUAUCAUCCAAAGUUACGCAAAAAAAGUUUGUCGAAACCUAUCCAUAUGGGGUCUAGUGUUGAAGAACUCAUCGUAAAUAACCCAGCAGUGAAAACAGAUCUCAGUUCGGACGCUCGGCUCAAAAGAUGUAGCUUUUUGAAAAAAAGAAAGAAAGUAAAUGAUUGCACUAAAGUAGGGAACCAGAUCACACGGGGUUUCUUUUUUAGUCUGUCCUAGUCAUACACGGGUUUGCUACUUCCUUUUUUUGGGGAGCACUUGCUUCUGCAAACGGGCGUCCGUGCGCCUGCUAGUCACGUCCUUAUUGUAUAUGCUGAAAACAAAUGUGAGUUCAUGUUCCAUCACUAGAGGAAUCAACUUCAUUGCCAUCAGCCAUAGCGGACGACAAAGGACCAUUCCACGAACGACAAAGAGCUUUGCCAUCCACUGGUGGACGACAAAAUUUUCGCCAUAGAGAUAGGCUCGGUAAAGACCUUAUUUGCCAUCUGUCGGCACACAGCGGACGACAAAGAUAUUUGCCGUUGGCCUACCAUGGCUAGCAGAUAGAAAAGGUGCUAGACAGCAGCUGACAUGAAUAUACUCUGUUAGGUGGCUAACGGAGCCUUUGCCUUCUGCCAGGGCGUCCCCUUUGUCAUCUGCAAGGGCGUCCCUUUGCGAUCUGCCACGGGCAUCCCGUUUGCCGUCUGCCUUUGCCAUCUGCCAGGGGGCGUCCCUUUGUCGUCUACCAUGGGCACUGGCUGACGGCAAAGUAACCAUAUAGUCCACGCAUGCUGCUCCCAAGUUGCACACGUGGGUGCAACUUGGCACCUUUUCCAUCAGCUGGCAGACGGCUGAAUGCUCGUAUCAUCCCUUUUUGUUUUUUUUUUCAGUUCUUUCCCUGCAUAUUCAGAAUACUUCUAUGAUAUAUAUAAUUUCAAACAUCAUAUGUAGAUUUAGACAUCAUAGAAUAAGCAUAGGCCAUGUAUCCAACAUAAUCGUGAAAAUGUUGAGCAAGACAACACAUAUUUUCACAUAUUUCAUCCAAAUAUACACAUAGUUUGAAACAUCACACUCUUCAUCUAUACAAAUUGAGACAAAAAGAAAACAAUAGUAGCCCAUCAAAGUUACCUUCCAUGAAGUGAACCAAAUCUGCAAAAUGAGAAUAAGAAAGUUAGAAGGAGAAGAAGAAGAAGAAGAAGAGUAGAAGAAGAAGAAGAAGAAUAGAAGAAGAAGAAGAAGAAAGAGAAGGAAAAUAAUAAGAAGAAAGAAACAAGAAGCUCAUUCUUCUUCUUAUAUUCUUUCCCGUUCUCCUCUUUUCGCUUCUAUUCUUUACUUUUAUUUUUAUGCCAUUUUUGUGCUUAUUAUGUUAUUUUGGAGGAACAUAAGCUAAGUAUAUGACAUUUAUGAGGUAACCAAGGUUCUUAUGCCAUUUUUGACCUAACUAAGCUAAUUAUGUCCUAAUUGAACUAAAUAAGCUAAUUAUGUCAUUUUAGAGGAUAAUUAGCUAAGAAGGAGAAGAGGAAGAAGGAGAAGAAGAAGAAGAAGAAGGAGGAGGAGGAGGAGGAGGAGAAAAGAAGGAGAAGAAGGAGAAGAAGAAGAAGAAGAAGAAGAAGAAGAAGAAGAAGAAGAAGAAGAAAGAUAAGAAGAAGAAGAAGAAGAGGAAGAAGAAGGAGAAGAAGUAGAAUAAGGAGAGGAAGAAGGAGGAGAGGAGGAGGAUAAGAAGAAGGAGGAUGAGAAGAAGAAGAAGAAGAAGAAGAAGAAGAAGAAGAAGGUGGAGAAGAAGAAGAAGGAGAAGAAGAAGGAGGAGGAGGAUAAGAAGGAGAAGAAGAAGAAGGAGAAGAAGAAGAAGAACGAGGAGGAGGAGAAGGAGAAGAAGAAGGAUGAGAAGAAUAAGAAGAAGGAUAAGAAGAAGAAGAGAAGAAGAAGAAGAAGAAGAAGAAGAAGGAGAAGAAGAAGGAGAAGGAGAAGAAGAAGAAGGAGAAGAUGAUUACAAUACUUGUCUUAUUUUGAGCUUAUUAUGUCAUUUUGGAGGAAGAUAAGCUAAGUAUAUGACAUUUAUGAGCUAACCAAGGUUCUUCUGCUAUUUUCGACCUAACUAAGUUAAUUAUGUCAUGAAUGAACUAAA